RNAcentral lists this ribosomal RNA (254 nucleotides) under uncultured bacterium. Its description in RNAcentral is "partial 16S ribosomal RNA". It matches the Rfam family "Bacterial small subunit ribosomal RNA", at positions 524 to 776 of the family's 1533-position model. The record is from RNAcentral.
UACGGGGGGAGCAAGCGUUGUUCGGAUUUACUGGGCGUAAAGGGCGCGUAGGCGGCCACCGCAAGUCGGCUGUGAAAUCUCCGGGCUUAACCCGGAAAGGUCAGCCGAUACUGCGGGGCUAGAGUGCAGAAGGGGCAACUGGAAUUCUCGGUGUAGCGGUGAAAUGCGUAGAUAUCGAGAGGAACACCUGCGGCGAAGGCGGGUUGCUGGGCUGACACUGACGCUGAUGCACGAAAGCGUGGGGAGCAAACAGG